Gorilla gorilla gorilla (western lowland gorilla) is the source of this 1454-nucleotide long non-coding RNA. RefSeq lists it as uncharacterized. The transcript has 3 exons. NCBI's taxonomy places the organism in Eukaryota, Metazoa, Chordata, Mammalia, Primates, Hominidae. The record is from RefSeq and is a predicted model, not a curated record.
ACCGCCCAAUCAGGCGCGCCGUGGGAGAGGAGAGGAAAGGAGGGCGCGGCUUUCGGCAUUUGGCGGGGUCUUUGUCUCUCGCUGGUGCUGGCACAGGAGCUUGGGAUCCAUCUCCUCUUUUGCCUCCUCCACCUUGGGAGCCCCGGGCUACUCUGUCACAGCCCCUGUUGCCCUGUGAUCUGUAGGUCCUUGGGGAAGCAUAGUUAAGGUGCCAGGACAUCUUGGAAGCUGGGAAAUGCAUUUCAUCAUAUCAAUGUGAAGAUUUCUUCCGGACCAUGGCUGGAGAAGUAAAGAACGUGUGUUUUGCCUGAUUCAGGGACUAUAGAGAGAACCAAGUUCUGCAGGCCUGUCACCUAAGUCUCAGCUGGGUGUCACAAUCUCUGAACUGGAUCCCAAGGCUUUCAUGAAUACACUUAUGUUUGCUGUGGCAGCUGCAUUAUGUUGUGGGGGAUGUGGAUGCCGAACCUCCCAUUCUGUCAUCUUGCUUAUGUUACUCUCCUUCAUGUUUCACUUUCUGAAAUGAAUGUCAAGCUGGUGAUUUUUAGAUUGAAAAAUUCUAAAAUAAAUUGCUCAAAUUUACACAUUAUGUAAGCUAUUAAUAAAAUGUCUUGUAGGUGCUACAUAUUUAUCAAAAUUUUUGGUUGUAAUUUUAAGCUCACUGUAGGCAGAAAGGAAUCAUGAACAUUUAUAUUCUUUUUUUAGUCUGUAUAUAAAUGAUGGUAUAUUUUAAUUCCAGAUAUUUACUUUAUACUUCGGUAAUGCUCAUCAUAUUUUGCAAAAUUUAUGUUGUUCUUUUGUUUGAAAAUAUAAGGCUUUUUUAGCUCCUGAAAUCUACAGUAUAGUCGUGUGGUUUUAUUAUAUUUUGUGGUAAGAAGAGCAGAAACAUAUUGAGAACAUAAGAAAAUUCUCCUGUCUUUUUAAUGAUUAUUUAUUAAACUCUUCUGAUUAGAGCCUGUUAUUAAUGAUUGCAAUGUAUUUUCUGUAUAAUUUUACUGCAAUUCAUUAAAUUCUAAUGACUUAAAUUGUCUGUUUUUCAUGAGUGCACACAGUUGAAUGCUGUAGAUAUCUAAAGAAUUAUUUUUCGGCUGGGCGUGGUGGCUCAUGCUUGUAAUCCCAGCACUUUGGGAGGCCAAGGUGGUUGGAUCACGAGGUCAGGAGAUCCAGACAACCCUGACUAACACGGUGAAACCCCAUCUCUACUAAAUAUACAAAAAGUUAGCUGGGCAUACUUGUGGGCGCCUGUAUUCCCAGCUACUCGGGAGGCUGAGGCAGGAGAAUGGCGUGAGCCCAGUGGGCAGAGCUUGCAGUGAGCCAAGAUCAUGCCACUGCACUCCAGCCUGGGUGACAGGGCAAGACUCUGUCUCAAAAAAAAAAAAAAAAAAGAGUUAUUUUUUCACUGUAAAUCUAUGUUGUAUUCAGGAUUUUAUGCAUUAAAAUCUCUGUUCUUAUUUUCA